Molecule: RNA transcript, 3850 nt
Organism: Apus apus (common swift)
Lineage: Eukaryota; Metazoa; Chordata; Aves; Apodiformes; Apodidae
Gene: PRRG3
Gene name: proline rich and Gla domain 3
Exons: 3
Source: RefSeq, a predicted model, not a curated record
AGAAGGGGGGUGGGGGGACUGGGACUGGGUGGGCGUCUUGCUAGGUCAGCCUCCAGCUUCAGGCUCCUCUGGGCUGGCGUGGCUGUGCCGAGGCAGGAGGGAGGCUGCGUGCUGGGCUCUGGCUUUUCCUCCUCAUCGGAGCCAGGGGAGGUGGUUGAGAAUUUGUGUGUGGAAAUAAAGAGAAGCGUCUGCGGUGUGUGCCCUUCUUGUGGGCAUCAUUUGUGCUUUGUAGGCUUGCAUAGGCUUAUUGUUGUACUGAAAUAAAGCAUCUCUGAGCUCUGACACUGGCUGCCUUGGCACAGAUACUUGGAAAAAAAGUUAAGAUAAAAUCUUUCUGAUGCAUUAAGUGUUUUGCCCGAUGUAUGACGCAGGUUAUGGAGCUGGGGAUCUUGACAAGUCUGGUCUUGAAUAUCCUUAUUUAUGUGUCUCUGUUCUCCUCUCUGUCAAACAGGGAGAAUGCCUGAAACAAUGAGCAACACAGAGGUUUUGGUGUGGAAACUGUGGCAAGUUUUCCAUGCUAAGCAUUCUUUUAUCCUGGGGGUUUGGGUCUCUGUAAAAACUGAUGGCAGCAAAAGCAGGUCAGGUAGUACCUACCACGGAGCUGAUGCAGCCUGUGGGGGAAUGCAUGGGUCCAGAGGUCUCUCAGCUGCUCUUGCAUCCCCUAGAACAGCUCAGAGAAGCAGGGUUGGGUGCACAGUUUCUUGAGAAAAGGCCUCCUGGGGCUCAGGAGGCAGCAGACCCCUCCUGUGUGAUUCCAGUUUUCUGCUGCUUUCUCUCAUUCCUGCUUAAACUCCUGACUGUGGUUUGCAAUCUGAGUUUCACAAACUGUUGGAAAGAAGCUGCUUUCUGCUUCUGGAGACAGCUCCAGGCUUACUUGGCCUCUUGACACUUUUGGUGCAGGAACCUCAGAAACCACACAAAACCUGAGGUUGGCAGGGAGAGGAGCUAGGUUUACUGGGAAGGUGGCUGUUGGUGAGGUGUGGUGGUGCCAGCUGUGGUGAUGAGCAUCAGUCCUCCUGUGUGUCUGGAUGCCUUCCUUUUACUUAAAGUGAGAAGUGUGUUUCUAGCCUCACUGACCCUGUGAAUGGCCCUGACCUUGCCCCAGCUGCUGUUUUUAAUUGUUUGCUCCUUCAUCCACAAUAAGUUCCUGUGAGAGCUGGUUAGUCUUGUCCCCUCUGUCUCCUGACAGAGCUGUGGCUUUGCCACAGCAAGAUGUCACACAAGGCAAGAGGAGAUGAGUUUGCCCAGGGUAGUUGGAUUAGAGGGGCACUGAACACAGGGGGAAGUGUGGAAAAGCAAGUGAGUGAAACUCCUCCUGUGAGCAGAGAGGGGUAUACUCUGCUUCUGCAGGUCUUUUGGGGUUUCAUUUAGUUUUGCUUUUGAAGCACAACAGGUGCUUUUCCAGCUGGAGAGCUGAUGUCCUGAGUGUGUGGGGAGCUCUGUCACUCUUGCUGCAGCCCUAGCUUGGCCCAACAGCCUUCAUGAGAUGCAUCUCUUUUUCUUCCCUGCUGUGUAGUCAGCUUUAUGGCAGAGAAAACAGUAUGGCCCUGUGUCAGCGUUUGACUCAGGUCUGACAACAAUGCUCUCGAUCCCCUCCCCCUCCCACCCAGGUAGGGAAGGAGAGAGAGAAAAAGAGAGAGACUUGGCUGGAUUGAAAACUAAACUACACAGCUUUAAUUAUACACUAAUGCUAUGAGAAAAUACAUACAGUUAUAUACAGAUAUGUUCAGGUAUGAGCAAAAGCCUUUCGCCUCCCCCCACCCCAGCAACUCCCACAGCACUCCCCUGAGCUGGGACAGUCCCGAGGAAUCCCAGAGAUGCUGCUGGAGAAAGCACAGAGUGAUGAGGGUCAGGAGAGCUCCAGCCUAAGGGUCGAUGGUGCUGGAUGGACGGAGUCCUCCCCGGGCGCCGGACAUGGGUGGAAGUGAAGGAAAGAAGAAGCAGGAAGGAAGUUGUCUUCUGUGAUCUUCUGUGUUAGAAAAACAUUCCAAUGUCUUAUCAGUCUAGCUAGAACAGAAUGUUGCUAGUUAAAAGAAAGCUCACUGAAGAAAAAAAAAUCAGUAAAAAGGAAAAUUGGCUACAUCCUGGCUCAGACCAGGACACCCUGUUUAUUGCAGACUGUGGGUAGGAGUUGCAGAAGUGAGAACUGUCAUGCUGUGGAUCUAAAACAGGAUGACUGCUCUACCUGUAUCCAUCAAUCUCUUGUGGGAGCGAAGAGCACCAGGCUGCUCCCAGCAGCUUCUGACAUGCAGGUCAUCUCGUCUGUUGAUGAGACACAGGGACUGUCGUUCCUCCACUUCUUCCCUUCCUGCUUUGCUUGUCUGCAGCCCUCUGGGCUUCCCGGGCAGAGCCCUGGCCCUCCCUGGGCUGGGGCAGCACAAGUACGGCCAAGAGCUGCCCCAGCUCUCAAGAGAGCUGAGGGUGCCCUGAGCCCCUUGGCUCCCUGAAGAGGCACAGCUUGGCUGGGAACUGUCCUGGGUCCACCAGACAGCUCCCUUCUCUCUGCAUGAGUCUCUUCCUGGGUGAUGGAGGUCUUGGGCUUCAGGGGGUGAAAUUUAAGCUGUCAGUGACUCUCCUGUUUUCUUCCCUGCAGGUAGGCAGGAGCUCCCCGUAGCCGAGUGAGGCAGCAUGGCAAGUGGGAGUCAAGAGGAGGUGCUGAAGGGCUGACCUCUCUGGGACUCCCCGCAGGCUGCAGCAUUUUGUGGCGUGAUGCUUGCUGUGCAAGGCAGGCCCCCCUGAGGCUCUUGGGACUGACUGACCCCUCUGCAGGGGUUGCUGCUCUGCGCUGCCAUCUCCCAGCAACAGUGCUCCUCGUGACUGGCAUCCCAUGAGCUGCCCAUCCUGGGGAACACGCUGCCUUGUAGCCCGUGUGGCUGGUGGCACUGGGGCUCUGCUUUCCCAGUGGACAGGCAGCUGCUCAACCCAACCCCGCAUCUCAGUGUCUGAAGGAGCACCUGGCAGAUGGGGCUGCUUGGGGCCAGUGGCUAAAGCUGGGCUGAGGCUGGCGAGGGUGGAGGAUGGUGUGUGGUCUCUAAAGAGCUGGACUCAACCCUCCCUCCUCGCUCUCCUGGGCAGCCUGCGCUGAGGCUGCGCGUAGCCGUGAGAUGGGAGCUCCGGGAGGACGGCACUUGUCAAUGGGAGAUGUGGAGAUCUGGCUGGGAUCUCGGGAUUUGCUCGGGGUGUUGCUGGAGCCAGCUAAGAAGGUGGAGGCAGUAGCCACACUGGGCAGCAAGAGGACGCCAGAGAUGACAGGUCCCUGAGGAAAAUGGGAUGUGGGGAGAGGCACGCAGCUCCAGCGUUUUCCCUUGGGACAUUGCUUGUGAUACCUGCCUGCCUGGGUGCCUGUUUCUAUUUACCACCAUAGUGACCAGCUCAGCAUGGCAAAGCAGAGAAGGGCUCAAGUGACUGUAACCUGCAGGGAUGGAAAACCCUGACAGUGAGAUGUGCAGCCAAGCUUGUUGCUCCAAGGUGUGCUGAGGAUGUUGGAAAAAGGCUCAGGUUUGAGUGCUGAGGAGGGAAGAGUUGAUACCACAGCCUAGUCAAGGUGGGAGGAAAAGGAGGUGAGCCAGACUUCUUCACCAAAGGGUGGGACAUUGAUGGAACGGAUGGUGUCUUUGUAAAAUUUCAUCUCAUUCUGGAAGGGCUCAAGAGAAGCUCAGCCUGCUCCCUCUCCAGCCAGGACUGCCCUCCUCAACUGUGACAGCCAAGGCAAGCUGAUCCCUGCCCUCCUGCAAGAUGCCUUCUGUGCCUCUCAAACAUGCUUUUUUCAGUUGUUCUUGUAAAAAAAAAAACAAACCAAAAAUAACAACAGCAACAAAAGGUUUGCAUAAUAAAGUCAAUUCUGAAGGAA